RNAcentral lists this long non-coding RNA (17755 nucleotides) under Populus trichocarpa (black cottonwood). RNAcentral describes it as "long non-coding RNA (PTRI_LNC001868)". The record is from RNAcentral. Lineage: Eukaryota; Viridiplantae; Streptophyta; Magnoliopsida; Malpighiales; Salicaceae.
UUGAGUCUGAAGUCAACCGCGUAGCAUUGUGCAAGGGGGAACACUGUUAUGUAAUCACUGUUUAUAAAGGAAAGGACCAGCAACUUGGUAAGUUAAACUUUAAUUGCUGGCUUUCUUUGUGGGUUUCUUGGUGUGUGUUCGGCACUACCUUGUGGACUGGGACAGGUCAGCCAUGAAUUAAACUGUGAAUAGCUCAGUGGUUUGGCCAAGUUUUGGGUGUGCGAUCCUUUGCUGCGUUUGGCAGAAGCUGUAAACUUCCUGGUGCCAAGAAACUGUUGAGCAUGCUGGUGCUUUGAAGACUUUGUGCGUUGUUAUAGAGUUGUAUUUGUUGUUUCCUUGUGGGCGUGGGGAAUUCACUUAGGCAGUUCCCCCCCAGGUGGGUGAGGAUAGUUUCCUUCCAAUGAAAUGUCUAUGUGGAAUCAACUAUACUGCAAACAAGAUCAACUUGGUUGUGUGAUUUGUAAAGGUAUUUUUGUCUUUGUAUACUCGACUUCUUGUAUGUAAGUUUAUUUAGUAAUCCCUCUCCAUCUCCCAUUGGACUGGACAUGCUUUUUUAGUACUCUCUAUCUAUCUCCCAUUAAAGUGGACGAAUGGUGGAAUUUUUUCCAUGUGAAACCUUAGGCAUCUUUCUGCAGUUUGGUGGAGAGGGAUAGUGCAGAACAGCUUAGGCACGGCCAUCCUGUCUCUAGAGUUGUGGAUGGCUUGCCGUCUGAAAUAGUGCAGGAGUGUUGUGGAAGUGUUUCACUAUCCAGUACCCAACAAGUUAAUAUCUCCAUGAGCAAGCUAGUCUUUUAAGGUUCGCUGCACUAAAUUGAAUCCGGUUUUGCAGUCGUUCGACACUAAAAUUAAGGGUCUGAAACAAAUUUAAUACAAUCAUCAGAAACGAGUGGCUGCUUCGGACUGGGAAGAGAGGAGACCGGGUAUUAUUUCUUGACUAUGCUGCGUUAUAUUACCAAAAGAGAGAGAGAGAGAGAGAGGCAGAGCUACGAUACUCAUAGGCUGUAAACUAAGCUGCUAUUAUCAUCUGGCCGUCUCGUGCUGCGUUGUGGCAGAAAGAUAAGUUACUGUUCCAAGAAGAGGAACAACAUCAAGCUCGGCACCUGUCUUUUUCUCUCCAUUACUGUCUGCAGAAGCUCGACGCAGAAUCUCCAAAACCUCCUUCAUAGAAGGUCUGGUGGAUGGCGAGGAGUGCGUGCAAAUGAGUCCUAGGUUGAAUACAGUGGUCAUUUCUUGCAAGAAACAUGGUUCCUUAAUCUCCUGGUCAAGGCAAUCAACAACAGGCUUUCCCUGUCCAAACUGCUGCCAUGCCCACUCUGCAAGGCUGGUAUGCUCAUCUCCACUAUUAGGUUCUCUUCCAGUCGCCAAUUCCAGGAGUACAACUCCAAAGCUAUAGACAUCUAUCUUUUCAUUCACCCUUGUCGUAUAGGCAUACUCUGCCAUAAAAAUGAGGAAAAAAUAGAUUUAAAUGGUGUGGUGUGAUCUCAAAAUUCUGAGUUGGAAUUAAAUGAACAGUGAAUAUACUUGAUAAAGCACAUUGAAGUUGUUGAAUGAUCUUACCAGGGGCCAUAUAACCGAAAGAACCUGCUACAACAGACAUGGUAUGAACCUCUCCUUGCUUAGCCAAUAUUCUGGCCAGUCCAAAAUCUGCUAUUCUUGCCUUCAAUUCAGAAUCCAACAAGAUAUUACUAGACUUCACGUCUCGAUGAAUGAUAGGAGUGGAGCAGUCAUGAUGCAUGUAGCUUAGGCCUCGUGCAGCUCCAAUGGCAAUCUGGAACCUUGUGGGCCAAUCCAAGACAGAAUUAUGGACUGAACUUGUUCCCAUUGAUGAACUUCUCUUCCUCCCAUGAAGCCAUCUAUCAAGGCUUUGGUUCUCCAUGAACUCAUAAACAAGAAGCUUUGAGCUCUCACUUGAAAUACAGCACAAUAAUUUAACUAUGUUUGCAUGCCUAAUUGUUCCCAGUAUCUGAACCUCCGCCAAAAAUUCCUUUUCAAGAUUGUGAUCCAUUGUUUCAUUAUUCCAAAUCCUCUUGACAGCAACGUAGUCACCUGCACGGUUUAUGGCCACCCGGUAUACCUUCCCCGAUCCUCCACUUCCAAUCAGAUUAUUUUCUGUCAAACUUGCCAAAACGUUUGCUUCUGUGAAGUCCAAUCUCUGGAACGAGGUCAGCUUCCAUGCUGCCAGAUCACGUUUUGCCUUCUUUCUUUGGUAGUCCCUAACCAUAAACAAGGUGACUAUCGUAGUGACUAGAAAAAUGGUCACAGUAAGAGCCAGAAUCAAGGCAAGAGUUUUAGAGGGCAUUUUUUUAGAGUCGCGAAGUUUAGCAUAGCAAUUUGGAAAGUUUAGAAUUGGAUUAACAGCACAGAGAUUAGAAUUGUUCAGGAAGCUGUUAUCAUAGGCAUGGUUAUCAAACUGAUCUGGGAUUUUCCCAGAUAGAUGAUUGGAGGACAAGUUCAGAGAAACCAGUUUCAACUGGUCAAAUUCAAGAGGGAUUUCACCAGAAAAAUGGUUUUGAGACAAAUCUAAAUAAAGCAGGUCAGGUAAAGACCCGAUCUCCUUUGGGAUCUGGCCAGAAAGUGCAUUUCUUGAGAGAUUUAAACUAGUCAAUGACUUCCAGGAUAUUAUCUUGGAUGGGAGUUGACCUGAAAAUUGAUUUCCAUCAAGCAGAAGAUUUGAAAGGUGAGGCAGACUCGUUAUUUCCACAGGAAUUUCGCCAGAAAGAAGAUUGUUGCUCGCCUUGAAAUCAACCAAGUUCACCCAGCUAGAGAUUCCAGGAGGAAUCGGACCAGAAAAUCUGUUGUUGCCGAGUUCCAACUUUGACAAAUUCCAUGCCAGCUUGCUCGGAAGUCCCCCCGAAAAGGAAUUGUCACUUAACAUCAAGUAAAUCAUAUUGGAGGCUGUCCAAACACCUGCAGGUAUCUCACCUGAAAAGCUGUUGCUGUAAAGCUGAACCGUGAGCAAACUGUCGCAAUUUCCAAGAGACUGAGGCACCCGCCCAGAGAGAUUGUUUUCAAAGGCAACUGCACCCAGCAAGACACCUCCAGCACAUAAAUUCUCAGGCAGUUGGCCACUGAAUUGAUUGGUUGCAACAUCAAAUUCUACAAGUUUUGAAUAAAGGCCCAUUUUAGGUGGCAAGGCUCCACUCAUGUUGUUGCUAAAAACCUUAAAUGCUGUCAGUGCAGGAAGAAGGCCUAUACUUGGUGGUACCUCACCGGACAAGUGAUUGUCAAACAGACUCAGAAGUUGCAAUUUCUUCAACUUGCCAAAAUCUUCUGGAAUCGAACCAUUUAAUUGGUUCAUUGCUAGAUCAAUCUCCACCAAAUUCAACGUUUCGACUCUCUGAGGUAUCUCACCAGACAACUUAUUCUGGAAGAGAUACAAAUAAGUCAAAUUCUUCAACGAAAACAACCCAUCAGGAAUCUUACCUUCCAAAUCGUUUUCAGCUAAAUCCAAGUGCUCAAGACUUGAAAGAUUGGUCAAGCUCUCCGGUAUUUCACCAAUCAAAUUCGCGAGUCUCAUCCACAGAUACCUCAACUUCUUUAGCUGACCGAACUCCACAGGAAUUGAAGAGGGCACAAACUCAUUAAUCGCCAAUCCCAGCUCUUCAAGAUUGGAAAGCUUACUAAUCUCCUUAGGUAACGUACCGUUGAACUGAUUCUGAUACAGAAACAAUGUCUGCAACCCUGUCAGGUUGGCCAUCUGUGGUGGAAUAUUGCCUGUGAAGUUAUUAGCUCCAAGGUUUAUAUACCUGAGACCUGAUAAUUUAUCAAUAUCAUCAGGUAUUGGACCGAAAAAAAAAUUCUGUGACAGGUCCAAGUGCUGAAGCUUUGUGCAACUGUACAGAACUUUUGGAAAUCCUCCUGGAAUGUGGUUAAAAUUCAUUUCGAGAAAUGUCAGGUUUUUCAGGUCACAAACUGUUGCUGGGAUUGUUUCUGUGAUGUUUUUAUCACCAAGGUGAAGUUCAGACACCGAGCCAUCGCCUCCACAGGUUACCCCUGUCCAAUUGCACGGCGAGGAUGAUGAGUUCCAGGACUGAAUGGACGGUGGAUUGCCAAGUUGUUGUUUCAGUUUUAGGAGUAUAGUUUUUUCAGUGUUGGCAUCUUGGGAAAUUACUCUGAAGGGCAGGGAAAGUAGGAGGACUAGAACGCAGAGGAGGGGUGAAGUUCUGAGAAAUAGGAUGGUUAAUUCGGACAUCCUGAAGGGUUUCAGGUGGUUUUUCCGGUUGGGUUUAUUUUGCCGGGAAGAGAAGGGCGAGGCUUAACGGCAGGAUUUGAAAUGUGGUUGGCAUUUGGCAAAGGAAGAUGAGGGGAGAUGUUGGGUAUAAAUCCGGUGAGCGAAAUGACAUUCACAGCGACAAUAAUUACAUAUGCACCACUGAAAGUGAUUUGAUGAGUCAACGACUAGUAAAAGUUUGUGGUUCUUUCACUGAUCAAUUACUUUAAAUUAAGUGCCCGUUUGUCAUUUGAUACUCUAUGCUUUUAAAAUAGUUUUUAAAUUAUAUUUAGUAUGAAAAUGUUAAAUUAAUAUUUUUAGAUAUUUUGUUGAUAAUAUUAAUAACUUAAUAUUAAAAAUAAUAGAAAUUUUGAAAAAAAAUUAUAUUUUAAUGUUUUUCCAAUAAGAAAAUAAUUUAAAAAAACACCUGUAUUAUGUUAUGAUUCAUUUUAGAUGCUCGUGUUUAGUAUUAUAACCACAAUUGUUUUUUAAAAUAUUUUUUACUUUAAAAUAUAUAUUUUUUAAAAUUAUUUUUGAUAUCAACACUUCAAAACAAUUUUAAAAUAUUAAAAUAUUAUUAUUUUUAAUUUUUUUUUAAAUAUUUUCCAGUACAAAAAUAAAAAUGAAUGAUUUCGUAGAGAACCAUUGCAAUUGAGUCCACUAGGUAUGAGCAAUUGAGCAAAUGGUAACCUUCAAAGUAUGAUGAUAAACAUGCCAUUGUUUCUAGAUACAGCCCACGACAAUUUAAAUAUGGAUUUUUUUUUGUGAUGGAGAAUUUAAUUACUCGCUGAAAUGUAGAAAAGAAAGUUAAUUUAAAUAUAUAUAACUUGUCUUUGAGUGGACUUGAAAAGUGAAUGAUACUAUGAGAUAAUAGAAGUUCUAAAAAAUCUACAUGAUAAUUUCCUAGAAUUUUCUCUAAGAAAAAAAAUUACUUUUAUUUAAAUUUAAAAACCCUUUGAGACACAACAUGUAUAAUAACUUUUAUAAAAUAUUUGUCAUUGUCGUAUCAUUGUGAAAUUUCUCCAACUUAUUUUGUCUUUUAGAAUACAAGUUCUUCAAAUAAAUAUUAUCCAUCAAGACUAACAUGAUUAUUAGAAUCUUGAUAGGAAGAAUGGAUAAUAAAAGUUUAUAUUUUUUUUAAAAAAAUACUAAUAUUGUAGUUCUUAUUUUUUACUCAAUCAUAAUUUUUUUUUAUUUGAUUAGUUAAAUAAGUUCUGUACUUUCAUACUCACUCAAUAUAUAAUUAUGUUUCAAAUCUUAAUUUUAUAAAAGCUAAAAUAAUAAAAAAAUUUAUUUAUUUUAUAUCUAAAAUUUAUCUCACAACCGUUUCAAUUAAAUAUAUAUUUUUCAAAUUUAAUAAUUAAAAAUAUUUUUUAAAAACUACAACAAUACAAAACAUGUGUCUUAAUCAAAAGUGGAUCACACGGAUAAUGGAGGAAAAGCCCAUGGUUUCCUUGCACUAUCAUGGAUUAGGUUGUAAGAGGUAACAACUUUGUAAAGGAGAGAGUAUUUGUGUUCUUUACAAUCUCCCCCCAGAUCCCGUUCUUUGUUGACUGAGGCUGAUAGCUAAUUAACCAAGCUGCUCUAACUAACUAGUUAACCAAGCUGCUCUAACUAACUAGUAAUUACUACAGCGGUACACUUAAAUUCUCAAGGGAUAAUUCUGUAGUUCUUGUACACAGAUGGGUUCCCCGGUCAACACAUGGAUUAGUGUGGUGACGUAAAAUAGGCACGAGGCAGCGACGGGGAAGGAAGGAAGGUUCAUGCCUUGAUUCGUUGUACAAUGUUGACUAUUCUUAUUGAAGUCUUCGGUCAAACUUCUGAAAUUAAAAAUCAUUGUAUUGCUUUUGGAUGUAUCUAUCUAUUUUCCACUUGAGGUGAUCUGGAAGGAUGCAAAGAUCCACUCUCUCUUUAAUGGUGGUGGUGGGGCCAUGUCUUGGACCGUAUGUUAUUUUCUUAAUGAAUGAAGGAAAGAAUAUGGAGGCAUUCUAUGGGAAUAAUAUUUUAUCACUGUAGAAUAUUAAUGGGUGCAAUUUUUUAAAUUUUUCCCAAGAUAGAUUUUCCAUGUCUAAGCUAGAAAAUCUUUUUUUUUUUUUUUUAAUCAUUCCAGAUUGAGCUCUCACUAAAUUAGUGAAAGCAUAGACCCACCAAUUAAAAAUUAAAAUUAACAUUGAUUUUAUCCCAUGAGCUUAAAAGUUAAGGUGAGACAUGACUACCAUGUCCGAGCCCGAACAUCCAGCCCAAACAUUUUGGUAAAAAUUUAGCUCAUAAGAUUAGAGUGGCAAAUGCCUGACAGUAGCCUUGCCCGGCCCACAGAAACAUCUCAAGUCAAAGAAAUCCCCCAGACUAUUGAAUGAAUGCUAAUGUGAACAUGUGAAUAAUAUAAAUCAUAUCCUGGAACCUCAAUUAACAGUUUAAGCUAUUGGGUUGAGAUGAUUUUUUGACAAGAAUUAAACCGAGACAUGAACUAUCAUGUCUGAGCCCAAACAUUUUGGUAAAAAUUUAGCUCUCACUAAAUUAGUGAAAGCAUAGACCCACCAAUUAAAAAUUAAAAUUAACAUUGAUUUUAUCCCAUGAGCUUAAAAGUUAAGGUGAGACAUGACUACCAUGUCCGAGCCCGAACAUCCAGCCCAAACAUUUUGGUAAAAAUUUAGCUCAUAAGAUUAGAGUGGCAAAUGCCUGACAGUAGCCUUGCCCGGCCCACAGAAACAUCUCAAGUCAAAGAAAUCCCCCAGACUAUUGAAUGAAUGCUAGAGUUGUUUAAGUAGAAAUUGCCACAUGCAAGCUGGUUUUUGUACUUGAAUCUAAGAGUUUCAAUUUGAUGGUAUGCAUGUUUAGCUAGAAGGAAUACGACAUCUAUAUUGAUCAGAAGUAAUCUCAAAUCAUGCGCCUGAUUACACGCACACCAGUUCAUGUUUCUUGUCUACAUUUAUAUGUCACAAUUUUUUUUAAUAUUGUUUGUGGAUUUUUGCUGGAUCACUGUGUCAGUAUAAUAAUAAUAAUAAUAAUAAUAAUAAUAAUAAUAAAUUAUGAGGGGUAUAACUCACUAGUCAGGUUUUAAGUUUGCUCUCUAGAAGUCACUAGUUCGAGUCUCAUAAAUCUCAAGGCCACUGGAGGCUUACAUUGUCAUUAACUUCAAGGCCCGUGAAAUUAGUCGAGAUGCACGCAAACUGGUCCGGAAACAAAAAAAAAAAAAAAAUUGUCAUCUAAUAAUGAAAUUUAGCUGUGUUCUACCACUGACUUUGUUAAGUGCUGGAGUCUACAUGCUAGCCUCCAGAUACAAUGGCUGGGGAGAAGUCAUAAGAUUAGAGUCGCAAAUGCCUGACAGUAGCCUUGCCCGGCCCACAGAAACAUCUUAAGUCAAAGAAAUCCCCCAAACUAUUGAAUGAAUGCUAGAGUUGUUUACAAGCUGGUUUUUGUACUUGAAUCCAAGAGUUUCAAAUGGUAGUUCAUGUUUCUUGUCUACAUAUAUAUGUCCCAAUUUUUAAAAAAAUAUUAUUUGUGGAUUUUUGCUGGAUCACUGUGUCAGUCUAAUAAUAAUAAUAAUAAUAAUAAUAAUAGUCGUUAGUGACCUUAAUAAAAUAAAACAAAAUGGAACAAUCAUCAUUCAGGAUGUUAAACCAAAGGGGAAUUCCCCAAUAAUUAGUAGAAAUUUAAAAUCCUAUACCUUUGCUUAAUUAUCUAGAUGUCUUCCAAAAUAUUUUUGACAAACCUAAAAUUAUACCUCGUAAACUGAUUUUCAAAAUGGACCCAAACUAUUAAAAUUUUCAAUUGGAUCCCUAAUGUAUCAUGCAUAUUUUAAUAGGGUUCCGUUUAUAAAUACUUUUUUUUUCCUAGAAAACAUUCAGUUUUCCUCCCAAAAGCCUAUUUAUUGUGAUUUACAUGGAAACCAUUAACAUUAUAGACGAGACUGAAUUGUGAAGUGUCUAAUAUUUUAGUGAUCCAACUGAGAAGAUUGAUAGUUUAAAGACUAAUAUGAGGUUUGGCGAAACAUUUUCAUGUCUAAUUUUCUUUUUUUUUAAUAAACAAUAUUUAGAGUAUUUUUGAACUAAUAUCGAUCAUAUCUAUUAUAAUAAGAAUACUAUCAUUAAAAUAAUAUGGUAAAAUUAGCUAGCUAGAAGUUUAAUUGGAUUAUGGAUAUUGCACUAAUCUAUAGGUAAACAAAGGCUUUAUUAAGGGUUAUGCUGGUGGAUGAGUAAAGGUCCAAACUUUUUAACUUGUAGAUGAUAGGUAAGCUGAUUAUUUGAUCAAUUUUAGUCAUAUUCUGCGUCACCAAAAAAAGAAAAUAUAUUUUGAUUGCUUUAGAAAACAGAAUGUGAACAUGGAAAAUGAAAAAAAAAAAAAAAAAGACUUGAAACUCUCCACUCCCAUCUAAUUUUUUUUCUUUCUUUUCUAGAAGAUAGUGAUAUUUACUAGUUAGCAUGCCCACUUUCUAUGCCUUUUAGAAUAGGACAGGGAAAAUUGCAUCAUCAAACCACACCAUACACGAAGUCAAUAUUCAAUAUAGAUUAGAAUUGCUCCCAUCAUGACUUUCCCCUUUCAAGCAAAGCAAAGGAAGUGCAAAGGUGAAACACGUUCGGAUGAUGUCAUUAUUGUUUUAUCUUACUUUUUUAUGGAUAUAAUAAUAAUUAUUUUUAAAAGUAUUUUUUAUUUAAAAAUAUAUUAAAAUAAUAUUUUUAUUUUAUUUUUAAAUAUUAUUUUUAAUAUCAGCAUACCAAAAUAAUCUGAAAAUAUAAAAAAAAAUUUAGUUUUUCCUUAACUAUAUAUUUAAAAAAAAAAUAGUUGCAGGAAAGGAUUAGAGGCUCCGAGACCCUGACACCGGGAAGCCAACCAAGUUCAAAAACUGAAAGCCCAAUCACUUGAGAUAUGCCUGGCCGUUUUAUCUUUUCCUCGACAAUAUGCAUCUCCCGAGGGAAAUAGACUGUUGUAGGCUGUCUGAAAAAAUAAGAAAAUUGAAAUAGGAGGAAACAGGAUAAAUAUGUUCUCGAGAAACUAUAUUACAGUUCCAAGUAUAAUUAUAUUAAAUAAUAAUGAAUUAUGCUUUUUACCUUGUUUAAGUGUAUCUUGUUUGUAAAAAUAAAUUUUUGAGAAUUGACAAGGAGUUUUCUUACCAGAGUUAUUUCUUCUUUUUAUUUUUUAUUCGUUUCUUUUUCUUGUAUUGUUGUCUGUUACCAUUAACAUACAUAAUUAUAAAAAUGAAAAGUUACUAACUUUUGACAGUUAUUGUUAGGAUGCAACUUUCAUCUUUUUCCUUAUAUUAUCUUAUUAAUAUAAAUAAUAUUAAGCCAUGUUUAUUUCCCGGAAAGUGAUUUCUGGAAAAUCACUUUCCAAACUUUUCUAUGUUUGUUUGCCAUUAGAAAAGUUGGUCAAUGGAAAACACUUUCCAGUCAAAGAAAAAUUUGGCUUGGUUUCCAAGAAAGUGUUUUCCUGAAAAAUUUAAACCGAAAACACUUUCCAGAAGUUGUGAAAAAUUUAAAAAUAUCAUAUUAUUUGCUGAUUAUAUCAAAUUUGGUCCUCAAACUUUUGAUUGCUAUAUAUAUUUUGUUUUGAAUAUUUAUUUUUCAAUUUCAUCUCUUAAAAUUUAAUUUUUAUAUUAACUUCGGUUCUCAUUUUUAUAAUUGUUAUUUGCUUUUUUCUUAUCAUUUUUUUAUUGAAAUUUUUUAUCUAUCAAAUUUGAUACUCAUUCUUUUGAUUGUUAUUUAUUUUAUUUGAAAUAAUUUAUGAAAUGUUAAUUAUUAUUAUUUUAAUUUUUUUUUUUAGAUUUGAUCUCUAUUAUUUUGAUUAUUAUUUAUUUUAUUUGAGAUAAUUUAUUAAAUUAUAUUUUUUUCAAUUUCAUUCUCAUUCAACCUUUUGAUUUGUAAGAUUUGUUCCUCAUUAUUUUAAUACACUUGAGAAAAAUAAAACAUUAAUAAGUUAUUUUUCAGCUCAUUUUCCAUGACAUAACCAAACACUGGAAAAUGUUUUCCAACUUAUUUUCCAUUACACUACCAAACAUCAGAAAAUAAUUCACUUUCCCGGAAUUCACUUAAAAAAAAAAAACUACUUUCCAGCAAACAAACGGGGCCUUAAUAUAUAUGGAUUUGGUUGACCAUCAUAGGUGACCCAAAGCCAAUUUUUUCCUUAACAUGCCAAUAUACAAUGGCUCCAAAAAGUGCAAGCAUGACAUUGAAGAUAGGAAAUGACAUGGAAAUAAUAGUUGCUAACACCACAAACAUUGUUCUCCAUAUCAGCCUUAAAAAGUUGAUGUUACGAUCUAACUUUGAUUUGCCAAGGGUUAGAGGGUAUUCUCCUGUUACAAAUUUUGAUGAUAGCACAAGAUUUAAUUAUACUAAAUAAGGCUGAUAUGGUAACACAAGAGUGUUCUCUAAUGGUUCUACUAAUGUUGGGUUAUUUGAGUUUGACUUGGUAAUGCAAAUGAAUAAAGUCCGUAAUGAUGUUUAUUGUCAACCCAUGGGCUAACUUUGAACUCGAAUUUGCAUCUCUUCACUACAUGGAAAAAUAAUCUUAUCAUAAAUGGGUUUCAAGUUCAGAAUGUGAUCUUUUCAUAUUGCCCAACCAUGCAUACCUAGAGGUUUUCUACAAUAAGUUAUGUUUGUUUUAGUUUUUAAGCUUCCUAAGUGCCCGUUUGUGUUUCUAAAAAGUAAAAAAUAUGUGCUAGUUAAUAUUUGUCUAAUUUUCUAUCAAGGUCAUUUAUUUGGGUUUCAAUUAUAUCAUUUUGGUGCCUCCCUAUACUUGGAGGGUUGUUCCAAGUAUAUAAUGAUGAUUCAUACCAUGUAUUGAGAUCUUUUGGCAAAAAAAGUUUGAAUUGAGAGUCUUUGACUUAGUCCUUUGGCAAACUAUCAAGUUUUGUAUCUUUUUUGUGUGUAGUUGCUUAUCCAUUAACUCAGUAUCUUUAAAAUAGUGUUUUAAUUUGUAUCUUUAGAGUGGUGCGUUGCUCAUGGUUGUAUCUAUUCGGUUUUUCACCUUAGAGUGGUGAGCGAAAAUAUUUCUUUGUGUGAGUGACUUGUUACUAUGCGAUAUCCAUACCAUCUCAAUGUCAAGUUGGUAGAAACUUAUGAAGAGAUGCCCAAUGAGUUGAAUUUCUACAAACUUUUAGUUUCUCUAUGAAGCACAAAUAUGGAGUCAUAAUGUUGUUGCUAAUGCUUUAAAUUGAAGAUAUUUGUUAUUGACUAAUACGCAAAUGGAAGUGACAGGUUUUGAAGUGUUGAAAGAUCUCUACAAACAUGAUGAUUAUUUUAACAAGAUAUGGGAUAAAUGCAAAAGAUGUGUUUCCAAGCAUAUUAUUGUGCUGAAGGGUUAUCUUUUCAAAGGAAACCUUUUGUGUAUUUCUCAUGAUUCUUUUAAGGAAGCCAUUUUCUUUAAAGUUUACAACGGUGGAAUUGAUGGACGCUUUAAGAGAGACAAAACACUUACUAUGAUCUAAGAUAAUUUUUUCUAACCGAAGAUGGAAAGAGAUGUUACAAAGUUUAUAUAAUAUUGUAGGACAUGACGUAUUGUUAAAUCACAUAGUUAUAAUUCAAGUUUAUACACUCCAAUUUUGAUAGCUAAAGCUUAUUGGGAAGAUGUCGAUAUGGAUGUUAUGUUAGGCUUGCCUAGAAGUCCAAGGAACAAAGAUUCAGUUGUAGUAGUGGUUGAUCCUUUCUAAAAAAUGACACACUUUGUUCCAUGUAGCAAAACACUUAAUGCCACUAACAUUGUUGAUUUAUACUUCAAGAAGAUUGUUAUACUUUGUAGAAUUCUAAAAAACAAUAACUUCGGAUCGAGAUUCCAAGUUUAUGAGUCAUUUUUGGUGUAUAUUUUGGAGGAAACUUGGAACUCAUCUUCAAUUCAAAACAACUUAUCAUCCACAAACUGAUAGAUAAACUAAAAUCAUUAGUUGGAGUUUGGGGAGUCUUUUUAGAAGUUUGGCGAAGAAGAAUAUUUGAGACUAGGAUCUUGCAUCGCCACAAGCUGAAUUUUCUUACAACCAUUUUACCAGCCAAAGUACUGGUUGUAUUCCUUUUUAAGUUAUAUAUGGUCAGAAUCUGCUGAGUUCAUUGGACUUAAUUUCUCUUCCAAAAAGCUAGAAUUUUAGUGGUGACGCUAAAGAAAUGGCCAAUUGGCUUAAAAAGUUGCAUGAACAAGUUCAUGACAAGAUCGAAAGGCAAAAUUAGAAGUAUCAAGCUCAAGCUAAUAUGUAGAGCUCAAAGAAGGUGAUCUGGUUUGGGUAUAUCUUGACAAAGAAAGGUUUCUAUAUGGUAAGUUUGCAAAGCUCAAAUCUAGGGUUGAUGGUCCGUAUAAGGAUUUAAAAUGGAUUGAUGAAAAUAUUUACAAGAUUGAGCUACCCACACAUCUAAACAUUUUACACAAUUUUAAUGUGGCUGACUUAGGUUCUUACUAUGGUGAUUAUAAUACAUAUGACCUAAGGAUGAGUAUUUUUCAACUAGGAGAACAUGACACAUGAGUAUCCUCUAAUGGUCCUACUGAUGUUGGGUUAGUAAUACAAAUGAAUAAAGUCCUUGAUAAUGUUCACUAAUAGCCCAUGGGCCAACUUUGAGCCUGAAUUUACAUCUCUUCACUAUAUGGAAAAAUAAUAUUAUCAUACGUGAGUUUCAAGUUCAGAAUAUGAUCUUUUUAUAUUCACCAACCAUGCAUGCCUUAGAGUUUUCUAUAAAAAGUUAUGUUUGUUUUAGUUUUUAAGCUUUAUAAGUGUCCGUUUGUAUUUUUAAAAAGUAAAAAAUAUAUGCUAGUUAAUAUUUAUCUAGGUUUUUUUUUUUUUUAUCAAUGUCAUUUAUGGGCCUCAAUGAUGUCAUUUUGGUGCUUCUGUAUACUUGGAGGGUUGUUCCAAAUAUAUAAUGAUAAUUCAGACCAUGUAUCGAGAUCUUUUGGUAAAAAAAUUGAAUUAAAAGUCUUUGACUUGGCCAUUUGAUAACCUAUGAAGUUAUGUAUCUUCUUUGUGAAUGGUUCGGUUUUGUACCUUAGAGUGGUGAACAAAAACAUUUUUUUUUUUGUGAGUGACUUAUUAUUUACAAUAUUCAUACCAUUCUAGUAUCAUAAUGGAUAUUCACAGUUAGCUAUCAAGUAUAAAAAUUAGAUAUUUAUAUCCAAUUUAUUAAAUUUCAUUUAUUCAAUUAUAUUUCUAUUACCAUAUAUAUAUCUUCGAGUUUAUAUUAUGUUUAUAAAGUUUGAUAAUAUACAUAUUAUAUCUAUUAUAUAUUAGAUAAGAUAAUUAUCUAAAAAAAAAAAAUCCACCCAUUCUGAAGUUGAUAUCCAUUAGAUUCGAGAGAAAUUAUCAUCUUCACUUGUAACUGUCCAUAAAAAUAUAAUAAUCAAGUUAGCAAAUUUCUUCCAAAAAUAAUAAAAAAAAAACCUCCAUCCCAUAGCAUAAUGCACAUAUAGGUCAAGUCAAUCACCUUGGGUGAAAUCCACCUAUCAUGUUUCCUAGUGCAUUUUUUUUCAAAUGCUUAAAGCACGAAUCAUGUAGAAAGUGGUCAAAGUUACUCCACCUAUCUUGUCACCUUCUUCGUCAUUUCAAUUUCAGGCGGGGAUGAUCUUAGUGUGUCCUAAUAAUUAACAGAAAAUAAAGUGGAAAAUUUUAAUGUGAGAACUUUAGAAAGAUGUAAAUUUUUAUACGGUCACUCAAACCAGAUUCUUGAAAAUGUACUGAAUUCCCUCGUGUUUUGAAUUAUAAAAUUAAAUCUACGUUAGAUUGGUAAAUUAAAACAAAUGGCCCUGCUACUUCUAAUGCUUAAUGUGUAGAUGAAUUAAAAAGCACAAAUCUACACCUCACAAUUAUAUAAAGAGCCUCAAGGAAUGCCCAAAAAAAAAACACAAAAAAAAAAAACAAAAUUCCACUCUAGCACUUUUGAUGUUGAUGUAGAAAGAGCACGCAACAUAUGUAUCUGGGUUGCUUUUCGUAGGCAUAUUGUUUUUAACAUUAGGAAAAUCUAAGAGUAUGAUAUGAAGCAAACUAUAUUGUUAUACACUAAAAUUAACCAAAAAUUUAUGAAAUCUGGAUCGGAAAAAAUAACCCAAACUUGAUUAAAGAUCAGACUUGUAUAAAAUAACAUAUCAUCUAAAAAAUACAGUAAUAAAAUAAAGAAGUGGGCUUGAACAAUUUUGAGCAAUUGACAGUAACAUGAGUGGUGAAAAAAAUGAUAUAAAGAAUCUACAUGCUGCAACAUCCUUAAAAUAAAAAAUUAAAUAGAGUGAAUGUAUAGUUACUUGAAGUUACUUUGUAUAGAAUAGAGUAAACGAGUAGUUACUAAAAAUUACCUUUGAACUGUUCUAUAUAAAAAAAGAUGCAGACCAGGUUCAAAAGCUGAAGGGCCAACCCCCUUAUGCUUAGCCUUUUAAUCUUAUUCUGGGCAAUGUGCAUCUCCACAGGGAAAUAGACUGUCAUGGGCCCAUAUGAAAUUGCCCCAAGAAGUGCAAGUAUUUCAUUGAAGAAAGGCAAUGCCAUUGCAAGCAAAGUUGCUACCACAACAAAGGUUGUUCUCCCAGUUAGCCUUAAGAAGUUGAUGCUAAAAUGUUUAGGUUACUGGUUUCCUUGGUGGAGUAAGCUGGGCUCUUCUAGUUGCCCGAGUGUGCCAGCUUUAUCCUAAUGCUAUUCCUAGUAUGCUAGUCUCUCGGUUCUUCAGAGUUUAUACACAAUGGCGUUGGCCGAAUCCUGUGAUGCUAUGCUCAAUAGAAGAAGAUGCACUUGGGUUUCCUGUGUGGGAUCCUCGCAAAAAUCCUCGAGACCGGUUUCAUCAUAUGCCAAUAAUAACUCCUGCAUAUCCUUAAAUGAAUUCUAGCUAUAAUGUGUCUACAAGUACUCUUCGUGAUAUGUGAGGUGAGAGCACAAGUAGCAAUCUAUUUUCCUCUACUUUCCUACAUUAUACUAUUGAUACUUUGUUGCCUUGUCACUUUGUUCUCUUUGCAGGAGAUUGAGCUGAACAAGGCACAGUGGAGUGCUCUUUUUGAGCCUUAUCUUUUCUUUGAGGCAUACAAAAAUUACCUGCAAGUUGACAUAGUUGCAGCAGAUGCUGUUGAUUUGCUAGCUUGGAAAGGCUGGGUAGAGUCUCGGCUUAGACAACUUACCUUGAAGGUAAGCAUCUUACCUUGUAAUCUUGUUGCUGAUAUACUCCUUUCAGAUUUUUGCCAUGUUUUCUAACGUAGUAGUGAGUAUUUGUCUUAUUUGAAGACAAGAUGAUCCAACAAAGUAUGACAGCUGUCUUGCUUUACUUGCUGUCCUUUCCAUGUGACAUUUCUCAGAUAGAGCGGGACACCGAUGGGAUGCUGUAGUGCCAUCCUUAUCCAAAUGAGUAUAUCGAUCCGUCCAAGCAAUGCGCACAUUGUGCUUUCUUCAUGGGCUUGCAGAGGAAAGAGGGAGUGACUGGCCAGGAGGGCCAGCAAUUUGAUAUACGGGAAACCGUUGAUGAGUUUAGGCAAGAUAUAAACAUGUACUUGCCUUGGAAAGCAGGGAUGGAUAUUUAUGUCUCUCAUGUUCGUAGAAGACAGCUUCCGGGCUUUGUUUUCCCUGAUGGGUACAAGCGUUCCCGACCAUCACGACAUAUGAACCAACAGACUAACAGGACUAGUGAAGAUGUUGCAAGAUCCCAGUCUGGGUCUGCUGAGAGACAUGUUAAGCGGAAAAAUGAUUGUGAAAUGGCAAAUUUGAAGCCAGUUAAACCGUACAAGCCCACAAAGACUGCAGUCUGUUUCUCCUUCUAGUAGUGCUGGUAGGUCUGGUGUGACAUCUCUGGCUAGUUCCUGUGAAGGGGUUAUAUUAGGGCGUCCAACCAUUGGGGACAUUGUUAGCAACUGCGAGGAUGUUGCUAGCAACUCCGAGGUUAGGUCAACUAGUGGGCAGUUAGAGAGCAGCUGGGUGUGACUGUCUAUCAGGAGUCACCCUUAAAUCAGCGGACCUCAAUGGAUGUACAUGAUUCACCAAUAGUUAGGAAUGAGCUAGAACCAGCUGCUCAUAUGAAUGGCUCAGAGCCAAUGGGAUUGAUGUUUGAUCCAAUUACAAAGCAGGAGCUGGUCAGUUCACAUGAAGUGCCAAAUUUUGAAACUGGGGAAAAACAUAAGGUUGGUGUGAAUGACAUAAUUGAGGAUUUGGGGUCAAAUUUCUUGGAGAAUGGAUCUUCAAGGAAACUGAUAAAUUGGGUUGGGGGUGCUAGUCGAGGCAUGGAGGUUGACCAAGAGCUUGUCAAACCAUGUAGUCAGACAGCUGUCGUAGAAUUUGCUGAAAGUGUUACAAGUUCACAUUCUGGCUCUCAGAACCUCAACUACGAGGUGAGUUAUUCUAUUUGAAGUUUUUGGAUUAAAGAUUGUUGUGGAUAGUUGUGGCAAUACUAGAAGUUCCGGCAAUAGUGAGAGUGGGGGUCUUUGCAGGGUAAUGUGUGUGCUGUGGAUGCGGAUUCACUUCUGGAAAGUGGAUGUUUGAAUGUGAGCGGAUCUGAGUAGUAUUGCAGAAUGGCUUGCCAGAAGAAUUAGAGGUUUAAACUCUGAAUUGCUGUUUUACUUUACUAUUACUAUCUAAUAAAGAAUUUUCGACAUUUACUCACUGUGUUGCCCGUUCAUUUCUCUUUCUUUCCUCCUCUUCCCUUGGAACUGGGUCAUUGCGACAAUGACUCUGUUUUUAUGAAAAUUUUAUGUGGAGAAUCUUGCAUUUGGAUUCCAGAAAUUUGUUAGAGACCUCCAGCCUUGUAAUCCUUGCAGUAGGAAAUCAGGACCUAAUGUUGAAUGGUUCCACGCAACGAGAUCUUUACUGUUGGCAGAUCCAAAAUUAGCAGAUGAAUUUGAAACGUCUGAAUUGUUCUUUUAUAUUCUAGGUUUCAUUUUUGUACAACUACUGUAACUCUGUAAGGUUCAGUAAUUAAUACUUGUUCAAUAGUCUUACCAUGCUAAUUGUUUUGCACAGAGUAUCUCCCAACUGGUGCAUGUGUGGUGACAGGUCCUGCACCACUAUAGUGCUAUGUUUCCAGUAAUUGUGCUUAAGAACCUGACCAUGUUUUAUGUCUAAGGCUCAGAUACAUUAACCCUUCCUUUGAUUUUUUUUCUCCAAUAUUUGUCAGGAAGUUAACCCACCUCCUUGCCUUUCUUUUGUAUCAUGUAGCCGAAGACUGCAAUUGGGAAAGUUUUAAAUUCUCAAGAUGGUGCAAGGUCAGAAUCUUUGCAGAAGCCAAUGAUAAGGCAUGCAUUUUAAAACCCUGAUUUUCAUCAUGCUAAUCAUGGUAUCUUUAUGCUGUCCUGUUUGGUUGGUUGCAUGGCUCUCUCUUUGCAGGUUGAGUCUGAAGUCAACCGCGUAGCAUUGGGCUAGGGGGAACACUGUAAUUUAAUCACUAUUUAUAAAGGAAAGGACCAGCAACUUGGUAAGUUAAACAUUAAUUGCUGGCUUUCGUUGCGGGUUUCUUGGUGUGUGUUUGGCAGUACCCUGUGGACUGGGACAGGUCAGCCAUGAAUUAAACUGUGAAUAGCUCAGUGGUUUGGCCAAGUUAUGGGUGUGCGUUCCUUUGCUGCGUUUGGCAGAAGCUGUAAACUUCCUGGUGCCAAGAAGCUGUUGAGCAUGCUGGUGCUUUG